UAUAGGGUUGAGUCCUGGACAGGUGGUGGAAACUACCAAGUUGGAGUAUGGUAGGGGCAGAAGGAAUUUUCGGUGGAGCAGUGAAAUGCGUAGAGAUCGGAAAGAACACCAACGACGAAAGCACACUGCUGGGCCGACACUGACACUAAGAGACGAAAGCUAGGGGAGCGAAUGAGGUUAGAUGACCCAGUAGUCCUGGAGACACAAGAGUUUUUUUUUUUGGUCUCCCAAGGUAUUCACUAAAGUGAGUCCAAUAAUC
Non-coding RNA from Gossypium raimondii (Peruvian cotton), 259 nucleotides. Lineage: Eukaryota; Viridiplantae; Streptophyta; Magnoliopsida; Malvales; Malvaceae. The record is from Rfam.